UGGGGGAAUUUUGGACAAUGGGAGAAACCCUGAUCCAGCCAUCCCGCGUGUGCGAUGAAGGCCUUCGGGUUGUAAAGCACUUUUGGCAGGAAAGAAGCGUCGCGGGUUAAUACCCCGCGAAACUGACGGUACCUGCAGAAUAAGCACCGGCUAACUACGUGCCAGCAGCCGCGGUAAUACGUAGGGUGCAAGCGUUAAUCGGAAUUACUGGGCGUAAAGCGUGCGCAGGCGGUUCGGAAAGAAAGAUGUGAAAUCCCAGAGCUUAACUUUGGGAACUGCAUUUUUUAACUACCGGGCUAGAGUGUGUCAGAGGGAGGUGGAAUUCCGCGUGUAGCAGUGAAAUGCGUAGAUAUGCGGAGGAACACCGAUGGCGAAGGCAGCCUCCUGGGAUAACACUGACGCUCAUGCACGAAAGCGUGGGGGAGCAAACAGGAUUAGAUACCCUGGUAGUCCACGCCCCUAAACGAUGUCAACUAGCUGUUGGGGGCCUUCGGGCCUUGGUAGCGCAGCUAACGCGU
RNAcentral lists this ribosomal RNA (518 nucleotides) under uncultured bacterium. RNAcentral describes it as "partial 16S ribosomal RNA". It matches the Rfam family "Bacterial small subunit ribosomal RNA", at positions 354 to 860 of the family's 1533-position model. The record is from RNAcentral.